Molecule: non-coding RNA, 484 nt
Organism: Manis javanica (Malayan pangolin)
Lineage: Eukaryota; Metazoa; Chordata; Mammalia; Pholidota; Manidae
Source: RefSeq, a predicted model, not a curated record
CAGGCAGUCAGCAUGUCACAGGACCCAGAAGCUAAAAGGUUCAGUACAGUGUCGAGGAGGACCGGGGCCAGCAGUAAACCUUUCCAUUUCACCAUUAAGGAUGAUAUGCUUGGAGAUUUAUACAGAUACCCUUUAUCAGAUACUCCCCUUGGUAAACAAUUCUGAUUUUCUACUUGCACUGAAGAAAGAAGUGGCAAAGGGGGGCUUAACUCCAGAGCUUGCUUGUUUGAUCCAGAGGUUGAGUGGUGCCAUAGAAUUGGGGUCCUUGGCAUCGCUAUGCUGUGCUUUUUCAUGGAGCUAUUUUUAUCCAGGUACUAGCUCCUUAGAGAUGGAGAGAUGGCGAUCAGCAAUUCCUGUGGCUACUUGCUUCUUCCUCCUCCAAGCCCAGGAAGAGGGUCUCUGCAAGUUCCCUUAGAAGGGUGGGAAAACAUCUUCCCUCCCUCAAACCCCAGGACACCUCUCUUCUGUGUCUCACGUGGCUGGG